Non-coding RNA from Marasmius sp. AFHP31, 93 nucleotides. The record is from the annotation of a GenBank genome assembly. Lineage: Eukaryota; Fungi; Basidiomycota; Agaricomycetes; Agaricales; Marasmiaceae.
UCCGUUAUGGUGUAGUGGCUAACAUUAUCGCCUCUCAUAACACUUGUAAUGUCGCGAGCGCGAUAGCCCAGGGUUCGAUUCCCUGUAACGGAA